Molecule: ribosomal RNA, 496 nt
Filed under: Salmonella enterica subsp. enterica serovar Adelaide
Lineage: Bacteria; Pseudomonadati; Pseudomonadota; Gammaproteobacteria; Enterobacterales; Enterobacteriaceae
Description: partial 23S ribosomal RNA
Rfam family: Bacterial large subunit ribosomal RNA
Source: RNAcentral
CUCCUCCUAAAGAGUAACGGAGGAGCACGAAGGUUGGCUAAUCCUGGUCGGACAUCAGGAGGUUAGUGCAAUGGCAUAAGCCAGCUUGACUGCGAGCGUGACGGCGCGAGCAGGUGCGAAAGCAGGUCAUAGUGAUCCGGUGGUUCUGAAUGGAAGGGCCAUCGCUCAACGGAUAAAAGGUACUCCGGGGAUAACAGGCUGAUACCGCCCAAGAGUUCAUAUCGACGGCGGUGUUUGGCACCUCGAUGUCGGCUCAUCACAUCCUGGGGCUGAAGUAGGUCCCAAGGGUAUGGCUGUUCGCCAUUUAAAGUGGUACGCGAGCUGGGUUUAGAACGUCGUGAGACAGUUCGGUCCCUAUCUGCCGUGGGCGCUGGAGAACUGAGGGGGGCUGCUCCUAGUACGAGAGGACCGGAGUGGACGCAUCACUGGUGUUCGGGUUGUCAUGCCAAUGGCACUGCCCGGUAGCUAAAUGCGGAAGAGAUAAGUGCUGAAAGCA